Molecule: unclassified non-coding RNA, 279 nt
Filed under: plant metagenome
Description: partial contains small subunit ribosomal RNA, internal transcribed spacer 1, and 5.8S ribosomal RNA
Source: RNAcentral
UUUCCGUAGGUGAACCUGCGGAAGGAUCAUUACAGAGUUCAUGCCCUCACGGGUCGAUCUCCCAACCUUGAAUAUUUAUACCUUAGUUGCCUUGGCAGGCCGUGGCAUCACGAUGGGCCCGGGCGUAUGUGUGCCUGCCAGAGGAAACAAACUCUGUUUUUAGUGAUGUCUGAGUACUAUAUAAUAGUUAAAACUUUUAACAACGGAUCUCUUAGUUCUGGCAUAGAUGAAGAACGAAGAAUAUCGGAGUACAACACUUCAGGACUCAAGCAACAAUUC